Molecule: long non-coding RNA, 1043 nt
Organism: Ostrinia nubilalis (European corn borer)
Lineage: Eukaryota; Metazoa; Arthropoda; Insecta; Lepidoptera; Crambidae
Exons: 4
Source: RefSeq, a predicted model, not a curated record
CGAUUCGAUUGUAAGAAACUAGUCGAUGGUACAGCGCAAUGGAGGCAUGAGCGAAACAACAAUUAUGUUGACAAUCCAGCUGGUUUUGGUGUUACAGCUCAUGAUCUUAUAUGCACAACAUGUUGGACCCAAGCCCAAGAUACAACACAAAUGCAUCUACUUCAAAUCUUAGCAGAAAAUGUGUGCUUUGCAGUAGAACACUAGAGCCUAGAACACGUUCACAUCAGCUCAUGUCCCUGAGAACUAACACUCAACAUCAUAUUAACAUCAGGAACAUAAUUGUGGAACGACUAACUCCAUUAGAGGUUACUGCAAAUGACUACAUCUGUGGGGCUUGUCACUCAUUAUUGCAAAGAGAUACCACACCUACUUCACAAGACUCUCCAGAUAUGCCAACCGGUGCCCCGGUAGGUCACCAACAAGUUUGUGUUGGAUGUGGUUGUUCAUUAUUGCGAACUUGAAGUCAUUGUUUGGAUACAGAGAAUAAUCAAGAUAUAUUAAACAUUGUUCGAAAUUGGAUUCAACCCAGAGAGAUUCGUCCUUCAGAUCUUCUUUGCCAUAGAUACUAUCAGAGAGCACGAAUUACUACAGUUGGUGCUUAUUUAAUGAAGCUGAGGACCGGUGAUUCAGAUGACAGAAUAGCUACAUUACUUGGCAUUUCAAGGAGUACUCUUACAAAAUAUGUAAUGAAAGCACGCAGUAUGAUGGAGGAACAUUUCGUACCAGCACAUUUAGGGUUACAACAUAUUAGUAGAGAGGAAGUAGCCCAAAGAAACCUUUAUGUUCCAGUCUCUUUUCGGGAAGCCAGGAAACGAUUUACCACAAAGAAAGGCUAUUGUCAUCAUGGAUGGUACAUACAUACAUUUAUGUGCAAAAAAGUAGCAAUUAUGCAUACCAAAAAAAAAAACUUAUUCCCUAUACAAAUAUCGGAAUCUCGUUAAACCAUUUAUGGUACUUUGUUGUGAUGGCGACAUCAUUGAUGUAUUGGGCCCAUAUUUAAUAGAAAAUGUAGAACAUGACCAUUAAUAAAUAAUAAGUACCUA